CAGAAUUUCAGUUAUAUCUUAAAGCUAUUAAAUUUGGGGUUUAACAAACUAAAAGAAUUCUGA
Molecule: transfer RNA, 63 nt
Filed under: Isodiametra pulchra
Lineage: Eukaryota; Metazoa; Xenacoelomorpha; Acoela; Isodiametridae
Description: tRNA-Pro
Source: RNAcentral